AGUGAGAUUUAGGAAAUCCUUCCUUAAAAUCCUCCAGCGGCUCCCUAUUGUGUACUUCACAGUUGCAUCAACCUUUCUCCACCUCAUUCUAAAGAUCAGGCAGGCCCUGUUGACAGAAGAGAAGACUCAAGCCUGAUUUGCAGAUAGCUCUGCAUAGGACACAGCUACCAGACAGAAAUGGCCAGAGGGAAGGGAAGCCCAACUUUCAUCCUUCCGGGAAUAACACCUUUCCUGGGGACAGGUUUACACUGAUUUCUGGGUGGUGUCUGGUGAUUUUGUCAGAGUGGGAAGAGCUAAUGCAAGGCAUAUAUUGGAGUUAAUCACUUUUGUGAGCAACUGAGCUCUAUCU
RNAcentral lists this long non-coding RNA (349 nucleotides) under Homo sapiens (human). RNAcentral describes it as "HSALNT0171493". The record is from RNAcentral. Lineage: Eukaryota; Metazoa; Chordata; Mammalia; Primates; Hominidae.